RNAcentral lists this ribosomal RNA (253 nucleotides) under uncultured bacterium. Its description in RNAcentral is "partial 16S ribosomal RNA". It matches the Rfam family "Bacterial small subunit ribosomal RNA", at positions 524 to 776 of the family's 1533-position model. The record is from RNAcentral.
UACAGAAAGUGCGAGCGUUAAUCGGAAUUACUGGGCGUAAAGCGCGCGUAAACGGCUUUGCAAGUCGGGUGUGAAAUCCCCAGGCUUAACCUGGGAACUGCAUUCGAGACUGCAUUGCUAGAGUAUGGGAGAGGGAAGUGGAAUUUCCGGUGUAGCGGUGAAAUGCGUAGAUAUCGGAAGGAACAUCAGUGGCGAAAGCGACUUCCUGGACCAAUACUGACGCUCAUGUGCGAAAGCGUGGGGAGCAAACAGG